This 467-nucleotide ribosomal RNA is filed under the name uncultured bacterium. RNAcentral describes it as "partial 16S ribosomal RNA". It matches the Rfam family "Bacterial small subunit ribosomal RNA", at positions 28 to 506 of the family's 1533-position model. The record is from RNAcentral.
GACGAACGCUGGCGGCGUGCUUAACACAUGCAAGUCGAACGGAAAGGCCCUGCUUUUGUGGGGUGCUCGAGUGGCGGACGGGUGAGUAACACGUGAGUAACCUGCCCUUGACUUUGGGAUAACUUCAGGAAACUGGGGCUAAUACCGGAUAGGAGCUCCUGCUGCAUGGUGGGGGUUGGAAAGUUUCGGCGGUUGGGGAUGGACUCGCGGCUUAUCAGCUUGUUGGUGGGGUAGUGGCUUACCAAGGCUUUGACGGGUAGCCGGCCUGAGAGGGUGACCGGCCACAUUGGGACUGAGAUACGGCCCAGACUCCUACGGGAGGCAGCAGUGGGGAAUAUUGCACAAUGGGCGGAAGCCUGAUGCAGCAACGCCGCGUGCGGGAGGACGGCCUUCGGGUUGUAAACCGCUUUCGCCUGUGACGAAGCGUGAGUGACGGUAAUGGGUAAAGAAGCACCGGCUAACUACGU